CCUUGACAUACUAAGAACUUUCCAGAGAUGGAUUGGUGCCUUCGGGAACUUAGAUACAGGUGCUGCAUGGCUGUCGUCAGCUCGUGUCGUGAGAUGUUGGGUUAAGUCCCGNAACGAGCGCAACCCUUUUCCUUAUUUGCCAGCGGGUCAUGCCGGGAACUUUAAGGAUACUGCCAGUGACAAACUGGAGGAAGGCGGGGACGACGUCAAGUCAUCAUGGCCCUUACGGCCAGGGCACACACGUGCUACAAUGGUCGGUACAAAGGGUUGCUACCUCGCGAGAGGAUGCUAAUCUCAAAAAGCCGAUCGUAGUCCGGAUCGCAGUCUGCAACUCGACUGCGUGAAGUCGGAAUCGCUAGUAAUCGCGGAUCAGAAUGCCGCGGUGAAUACGUUCCCGGGCCUUGUACACACCGCCCGUCACACCAUGGGAGUUUGUUGCACCAGAAGUAGGUAGUCUAACCGCAAGGAGGACGCUUACCACGGUGUGGCCGAUGACUGGGGUGAAGUCGUAACAAGGUAGGCGUAGAUGA
RNAcentral lists this ribosomal RNA (530 nucleotides) under uncultured bacterium. RNAcentral describes it as "bacterial SSU rRNA". It matches the Rfam family "Bacterial small subunit ribosomal RNA", at positions 979 to 1509 of the family's 1533-position model. The record is from RNAcentral.